Molecule: ribosomal RNA, 253 nt
Filed under: uncultured bacterium
Lineage: Bacteria
Description: partial 16S ribosomal RNA
Rfam family: Bacterial small subunit ribosomal RNA
Source: RNAcentral
CACGUAGGGCGCGAGCGUUGUCCGGAAUUAUUGGACGUAAAGAGCUCGUAGGCGGCCUGUUGCGUCCGCUGUGAAAGCCCGGGGCUUAACCCCGGGUCUGCAGUGGAUACGGGCAGGCUAGAGGUAGGUAGGGGAGAAUGGAAUUCCCGGUGUAGCGGUGAAAUGCGCAGAUAUCGGGAGGAACACCGGUGGCGAAGGCGGUUCUCUGGGCCUUACCUGACGCUGAGGAGCGAAAGCGUGGGGAGCGAACAGG